AACCGACACCGGUGGUCAGGUAGAGAAUACCAAGGCGCUUGAGAGAACUCGGGUGAAGGAACUAGGCAAAAUGGUGCCGUAACUUCGGGAGAAGGCACGCUGACACGUAGGUGAAGUGAUUUACUCAUGGAGCUGAAGUCAGUCGAAGAUACCAGCUGGCUGCAACUGUUUAUUAAAAACACAGCACUGUGCAAACACGAAAGUGGACGUAUACGGUGUGACGCCUGCCCGGU
This 233-nucleotide ribosomal RNA is filed under the name Salmonella enterica subsp. enterica serovar Cerro. RNAcentral describes it as "partial 23S ribosomal RNA". It matches the Rfam family "Bacterial large subunit ribosomal RNA", at positions 1652 to 1867 of the family's 2925-position model. Lineage: Bacteria; Pseudomonadati; Pseudomonadota; Gammaproteobacteria; Enterobacterales; Enterobacteriaceae. The record is from RNAcentral.